This 382-nucleotide ribosomal RNA is filed under the name Octolasion lacteum. Its description in RNAcentral is "partial 12S ribosomal RNA". It matches the Rfam family "Bacterial small subunit ribosomal RNA", at positions 875 to 1415 of the family's 1533-position model. Lineage: Eukaryota; Metazoa; Annelida; Clitellata; Crassiclitellata; Lumbricidae. The record is from RNAcentral.
UCAUGGAAUAAAUCAUAGUCGAAAAAUACGAACUACAGUUUAAAACUCAAAGAUUUUGGCGGUGUCUUAUCGAACCAGGGGAACCUGUCUCAUAACUCGAUAAUCCACGAAUACCUUACCUCCUCUAGAUUAACCAGCUUGUGUACUGCCGUCGUAAGCACACCUCUAAAAGAGUUAGUAUGCAAUCAUGAUAAAUCUCAUAUACGUCAGGUCAAAGUGCAGCUAAUGGGGAAGGUGAUGAUGGGUUACAACCUAAAUAAAGACACGGAUUAAAGUUCUAAUAACUGUACAAAGGUGGACUUGGAUGUAACCACGGUUCAGUGCCGUAAUGAAAACGAAUCUAAGACAUGCACACAUCGCCCGUCACUCUUGCCUAAAGGCA